GACGAACUCUGGCGGCGUGCCUAACACAUGCAAGUCGAACGGAGAAUUUUAUUUCGGUAGAAUUCUUAGUGGCGAACGGGUGAGUAACGCGUAGGCAACCUGCCCUUUAGACGGGGACAACAUUCCGAAAGGAGUGCUAAUACCGGAUGUGAUCAUCGUGCCGCAUGGCAGGAUGAAGAAAGAUGGCCUCUACAAGUAAGCUAUCGCUAAAGGAUGGGCCUGCGUCUGAUUAGCUAGUUGGUAGUGUAACGGACUACCAAGGCGAUGAUCAGUAGCCGGUCUGAGAGGAUGAACGGCCACAUUGGGACUGAGACACGGCCCAAACUCCUACGGGAGGCAGCAGUGGGGAAUCUUCCGCAAUGGACGAAAGUCUGACGGAGCAACGCCGCGUGAGUGAUGAAGGAUUUCGGUCUGUAAAGCUCUGUUGUUUAUGACGAACGUGCAGUGUGUGAACAAUGCAUUGCAAUGACGGUAGUAAACGAGGAAGCCACGGCUAACUACGUGCCAGCAGCCGCGGUAAUACGUAGGUGGCGAGCGUUGUCCGGAAUUAUUGGGCGUAAAGAGCAUGUAGGCGGCUUAAUAAGUCGAGCGUGAAAAUGCGGGGCUCAACCCCGUAUGGCGCUGGAAACUGUUAGGCUUGAGUGCAGGAGAGGAAAGGGGAAUUCCCAGUGUAGCGGUGAAAUGCGUAGAUAUUGGGAGGAACACCAGUGGCGAAGGCGCCUUUCUGGACUGUGUCUGACGCUGAGAUGCGAAAGCCAGGGUAGCGAACGGGAUUAGAUACCCCGGUAGUCCUGGCCGUAAA
Molecule: ribosomal RNA, 802 nt
Filed under: uncultured bacterium
Lineage: Bacteria
Description: bacterial SSU rRNA
Rfam family: Bacterial small subunit ribosomal RNA
Source: RNAcentral